ACCCUUCCACUUUAUUCUAAUUUUUUUUCGCUCGUACACAAAACACAUAAAACGCCGCUCAUCUCACUCCCUCGCCCACUCCGAUGGCGUCGGAGUCGCCCCCGGCGAUCUCCGAAACCCUAACCCUAACCCCGUCUCGGGACCCGCGCCACCGCCUCCGCCGCCGCCGGGCCAAGCCCGGCCCCCGCAGGGGGAGCGGCGCCGCCACUCCUCUCCGCGUGUGGAGAUUGGACGGCUCCGAUCGAUCCGCGAAGGGAGGAGGAGGGGGGGACGCCGCGAAGGGAGGAGGAGGGGGGGACGCCGCGUCGGCGAGGAGGGUCGCCGCCGCGCUGUGGCGGAUGCGGCCGCCGAGGGUUGGCGGAGGAGGGGAGGAGAGGAGAGCUGAAUUAGGGUUUGAGGUUAAUUCCAGGCAUCUACAAUCACCUUGUCCUUGUUGUCGCGACGCAAUAAUCCUUCAUAAUAAGCCAAGGAAUGGCCGAGCUAUCGCCAUCUUGUCACAUUUCUCGAAUAAUGGUGGCUUAAAGAAGGUAGAAACUUGUGCUGCGUGUAAUGCAUCGGAGAUUGCGACUAAAUUUGCAUCGGUUGCGAUUGUUUCUUGCCUCCAACAAGAGCUCAAGUUUGCUCAUAGACGGAUUAACGAGCUCGAGUUUGACAGACGGUCUGUAAAUGAAAAGGUCGACUGCAUGUUGCAGAAGUUUGAAGAGGAGAAGGCCUCUUGGCGAAGGAGAGAGCACGAGAAAAUUCAAAAUAUUAUCGCGUCCAUCAAGAACGAUCUUAGUGGGGAGAGGAAAAACCGACAAAGGAUGGAAGUUGUGAAUGCUAAAUUGGCUGCUGAGCUGAACGAGGCUAACUUACGAGCAAAGCAGAACUUGCGAGACUACGAGAGGGAAAAAGGGGCCCGCGAGCUGGCGGAGGAUGCGUGCGAUGAACUGGUGAAGGAGAUUGGUGAAGACAAGUCCGAGAUUGAAGCUUUAAAACGAGAAUCGGUGAAAAUAAGAGAAGGGGUCGAAGAGGAGAGGAGGAUGUUGCAGAUGGCAGAAGUUUGGCGCGAGGAGAGGGUGAAGAUGAAGUUGAUAGAUGCGAAUCUGACUCUACAUAACAAAUAUUCCGAAUUGAAUAAGCUAAAAGCUGAUCUUCAGGCUUUUCUACAAGUGCAAGCUGCUAAAGUCACAGAUCUGGAACCAGUGAAAGAGGCCCAUAUGCUUAAAGAUGCAGUCGAGUUGAUUAAUGUUCCCGACAUGAGGGAGUUCUCUUACCAACCUCCAAAUUCGAAGGACAUUUUCUCUAUCUUCCAGGAACUUAUUGAAGAAACCAGUGAAGAAGAGAUUAGCCAAGUUUCCGAAUGUAGCCUUGCGAGCCAUGACUCCAAGAUCCACCCAGUGAGCGCUGAGACAGAGAAGUUAGAGGAACCGAUAAGCGGAUGUACUAAUGAGGGGGCAGACACGAUUGGAGAUACUGAAGAUGAUGAUGGGUGGGUAAGUGUGAACAAAGUCGAAGAGCAGGGUUCGAGUAAUUCCCUGGAAGGGAGUGAGGUAUUGGCAAAUGGUCUCCACGAACACACUAAUGCGUUGGUUAGUGGAACAGAUUGGGAUGACGACAAAGAGAAUGACAAAAUAUUUUGUUCGAGUACUAAUAAUCGACAGUCAAAUAAGAAAGGAUCUUCUUCAGUUGAUGGCGAGAAUCUCAAGAAUCGAAGACUACCAAACGAUGAAGUAAACUCCGACACAAUUGGAUCAAGCCCAAGUAAUCUAGGGCAGUUGAGCUCGCUCAAGUUGCUGAACCCUCAUGUUACUAGGGGAAUGAAGGGGUUCGUCGAGUGGACACGAGGUAUGCAGAGGCUCAGGUUAAGGUCGAAGCUUAUAGAGGCAAGCAUUAACAGCCAGAAGAUUCAGCUGCCCCACACUACUAAACAGAAGACGUAGUAAGACCAUCGAAGGCGAAAAUUAUAUUCACUCUUAAUCAUUUCCACGGGUUGCAGAUUAAUCAGAGAAAAUCAAGACAAUGUGUCUCAUAAUUUCUUCAAUCCAAGUUCCUAUCCUCUAUGAUUGGUGGGAAGUUUGCGAUUCAUCGAAUAUCGUCGAACAGAUGCUCGCGGAGGUAACUCGCGACGUCGGUACCAGAAUGGCCGUCGAAGAUGGCGAACAAGCCGACCUCGUUGUCAUCCAACCUCUUAAACUCGGCAACAUGGUAAUCCUCCAUUGAAUGGCGCGUCUUUCCCUCUACCAAGUGGUAGCCAUAUGUGAUCUUUCUUCUUGAUGAUCUACUCUUUCCUUUCCCACUAUCACACACUUGUGCAUCAACAGGAGCUCCAACCUAUUGAAGGAAACUAAUUUUAGCAAUAUAUAGACUCUUGCUCAUCUUUAA
RNA transcript from Ananas comosus (pineapple), 2364 nucleotides. RefSeq lists it as uncharacterized. The record is from RefSeq and is a predicted model, not a curated record. The transcript is spliced from 4 exons. Lineage: Eukaryota; Viridiplantae; Streptophyta; Magnoliopsida; Poales; Bromeliaceae.